GCAUGGGUUUGGAUUUAUGGCAGGUCUGUCCCCCUGGGCCUCUCAUAGUGUCCCAUGCCAGAGCAAACUGUGGCCCCGAACCAUUGCCUGGCCUGUGCCCAUAGGCUGCUGGCACUGAAGCGGGUUGCACAGAG
RNAcentral lists this small nucleolar RNA (134 nucleotides) under Prolemur simus (greater bamboo lemur). RNAcentral's name for it is "Small nucleolar RNA SNORA42/SNORA80 family (ENSPSMG00000019739.1)". It matches the Rfam family "Small nucleolar RNA SNORA42/SNORA80 family". From Rfam's summary of the family: The members of this family belong to the H/ACA class of snoRNAs that guide the sites of modification of uridines to pseudouridines. Human ACA42 (SNORA42) was cloned from HeLa cells by immunoprecipitation with anti-GAR1 antibody. The record is from Rfam by way of RNAcentral. Lineage: Eukaryota; Metazoa; Chordata; Mammalia; Primates; Lemuridae.